UACAGAGGUCUCAAGCGUUGUUCGGAUUCAUUGGGCGUAAAGGGUGCGUAGGCGGCGCGGUAAGUCGGGUGUGAAAUCUCGGAGCUUAACUCCGAAACUGCAUUCGAUACUGCCGUGCUUGAGGACUGGAGAGGAGACUGGAAUUUACGGUGUAGCGGUGAAAUGCGUAGAUAUCGUAAGGAAGACCAGUGGCGAAGGCGGGUCUCUGGGCCUUACCUGACGCUCAGGCGCGAAAGCUAGGGGAGCAAACAGG
This 253-nucleotide ribosomal RNA is filed under the name uncultured bacterium. RNAcentral's name for it is "partial 16S ribosomal RNA". It matches the Rfam family "Bacterial small subunit ribosomal RNA", at positions 524 to 776 of the family's 1533-position model. The record is from RNAcentral.